AGUUUGAAGUUCGCAGCCUGAUUUUUUAAGGCUGGCGGCUGGCGAUUUUUUAAUCGCCAGCCU
Molecule: non-coding RNA, 63 nt
Organism: Xenorhabdus beddingii
Lineage: Bacteria; Pseudomonadati; Pseudomonadota; Gammaproteobacteria; Enterobacterales; Morganellaceae
Source: Rfam